RNAcentral lists this ribosomal RNA (2995 nucleotides) under Salmonella enterica subsp. enterica serovar 1,4,[5],12:i:-. RNAcentral describes it as "23S ribosomal RNA". It matches the Rfam family "Bacterial large subunit ribosomal RNA". The record is from RNAcentral. Lineage: Bacteria; Pseudomonadati; Pseudomonadota; Gammaproteobacteria; Enterobacterales; Enterobacteriaceae.
GGGUUGUGAGGUUAAGCGACUAAGCGUACACGGUGGAUGCCCUGGCAGUCAGAGGCGAUGAAGGGCGUGCUAAUCUGCGAUAAGCGCCGGUAAGGUGAUAUGAACCGUUAUAACCGGCGAUACCCGAAUGGGGAAACCCAGUGUGAUUCGUCACACUAUCAUUAACUGAAUCCAUAGGUUAAUGAGGCGAACCGGGGGAACUGAAACAUCUAAGUACCCCGAGGAAAAGAAAUCAACCGAGAUUCCCCCAGUAGCGGCGAGCGAACGGGGAGGAGCCCAGAGCCUGAAUCAGCAUGUGUGUUAGUGGAAGCGUCUGGAAAGGUGCGCGAUACAGGGUGACAGCCCCGUACACAAAAGCGCAUGUGCUGUGAGCUCGAUGAGUAGGGCGGGACACGUGGUAUCCUGUCUGAAUAUGGGGGGACCAUCCUCCAAGGCUAAAUACUCCUGACUGACCGAUAGUGAACCAGUACCGUGAGGGAAAGGCGAAAAGAACCCCGGCGAGGGGAGUGAAAAAAGAACCUGAAACCGUGUACGUACAAGCAGUGGGAGCACAGGUUUACCUGUGUGACUGCGUACCUUUUGUAUAAUGGGUCAGCGACUUAUAUUCUGUAGCAAGGUUAACCGUAUAGGGGAGCCGUAGGGAAACCGAGUCUUAACCGGGCGUUAAGUUGCAGGGUAUAGACCCGAAACCCGGUGAUCUAGCCAUGGGCAGGUUGAAGGUUGGGUAACACUAACUGGAGGACCGAACCGACUAAUGUUGAAAAAUUAGCGGAUGACCUGUGGCUGGGGUGAAAGGCCAAUCAAACCGGGAGAUAGCUGGUUCUCCCCGAAAGCUAUUUAGGUAGCGCCUCGUGAAUUCAUCUCCGGGGUAGAGCACUGUUUCGGCUAGGCGGCCAUCCCGGCUUACCAACCCGAUGCAAACUGCGAAUACCGGAGAAUGUUAUCACGGGAGACACACGGCGGGUGCUAACGUCCGUCGUGAAGAGGGAAACAACCCAGACCGCCAGCUAAGGUCCCAAAGUCAUGGUUAAGUGGGAAACGAUGUGGGAAGGCCAAGACAGCCAUGAUCUUGGCAUAGAAGAAGCCAUCAUUUAAAACAAAGAGUAAUAGCUCACUGGUCGAGUCGGCCUGCGCGGAAGAUGUAACGGGGCUAAACCAUGCACCGAAGCUGCGGCAGCGAACGUAUCACCCAAGACAACUUUACGGAGUUGACGAUUGACGGAGCGAAGCGACGUCAAAGCGUUCAUUAAAGUCGAGUUGGCUUAGGGAUACGUUCGUUGGGUAGGGGAGCGUUCUGUAAGCCUGUGAAGGUGUGUCGUGAGGCAUGCUGGAGGUAUCAGAAGUGCGAAUGCUGACAUAAGUAACGAUAAAGCGGGUGAAAAGCCCGCUCGCCGGAAGACCAAGGGUUCCUGUCCAACGUUAAUCGGGGCAGGGUGAGUCGACCCCUAAGGCGAGGCCGAAAGGCGUAGUCGAUGGGAAACGGGUUAAUAUUCCCGUACUUGGUGUUACUGCGAAGGGGGGACGGAGAAGGCUAUGUUGGCCGGGCGACGGUUGUCCCGGUUUAAGCGUGUAGGUGUGUGUUCCAGGUAAAUCCGGUUCACUUUAACACUGAGGCGUGACGACGAGGCACUACGGUGCUGAAGCAACAAAUGCCCUGCUUCCAGGAAAAGCCUCUAAGCAUCAGGUAACACGAAAUCGUACCCCAAACCGACACAGGUGGUCAGGUAGAGAAAAACUCGGGUGAAGGAACUAGGCAUAAUGGUGCCGUAACUGCGGGAGAAGGCACGCUGACACGUAGGUGAAGUGAUUUACUCAUGGAGCUGAAGUCAGUCGAAGAUACCAGCUGGCUGCAACUGUUUAUUAAAACACAGCACUGUGCAAACACGAAAGUGGACGUAUACGGUGUGACGCCUGCCCGGUGCCGGAAGGUUAAUUGAUGGGGUCAGCGCAAGCGAAGCUCCUGAUCGAAGCCCCGGUAAACGGCGGCCGUAACUAUAACGGUCCUAAGGUAGCGAAAUUCCUUGUCGGGUAAGUUCCGACCUGCACGAAUGGCGUAAUGAUGGCCGUGCUGUCUCCACCCGAGACUCAGUGAAAUUGAACUCGCUGUGAAGAUGCAGUGUACCCGCGGCAAGACGGAAAGACCCCGUGAACCUUUACUAUAGCUUGACACUGAACAUUGAGCCUUGAUGUGUAGGAUAGGUGGGAGGCUUUGAAGUGUGGACGCCAGUCUGCAUGGAGCCGACCUUGAAAUACCACCCUUUAAUGUUUGAUGUUCUAACGUGGACCCGUAAUCCGGGUUGCGGACAGUGUCUGGUGGGUAGUUUGACUGGGGCGGUCUCCUCCUAAAGAGUAACGGAGGAGCACGAAGGUUGGCUAAUCCUUGUCGGACAUCAGGAGGUUAGUGCAAUGGCAUAAGCCAGCUUGACUGCGAGCGUGACGGCGCGAGCAGGUGCGAAAGCAGGUCAUAGUGAUCCGGUGGUUCUGAAUGGAAGGGCCAUCGCUCAACGGAUAAAAGGUACUCCGGGGAUAACAGGCUGAUACCGCCCAAGAGUUCAUAUCGACGGCGGUGUUUGGCACCUCGAUGUCGGCUCAUCACAUCCUGGGGCUGAAGUAGGUCCCAAGGGUAUGGCUGUUCGCCAUUUAAAGUGGUACGCGAGCUGGGUUUAGAACGUCGUGAGACAGUUCGGUCCCUAUCUGCCGUGGGCGCUGGAGAACUGAGGGGGGCUGCUCCUAGUACGAGAGGACCGGAGUGGACGCAUCACUGGUGUUCGGGUUGUCAUGCCAAUGGCACUGCCCGGUAGCUAAAUGCGGAAGAGAUAAGUGCUGAAAGCAUCUAAGCACGAAACUUGCCCCGAGAUGAGUUCUCCCUGAGACUUAGAGUCUCCUGAAGGAACGUUGAAGACGACGACGUUGAUAGGCCGGGUGUGUAAGCGCAGCGAUGCGUUGAGCUAACCGGUACUAAUGAACCGUGAGGCUUAACCUUACAACGCCGAAG